AACCACACUUGACUUCAACAGAGCCUGUAAAGCUGCGGGAGCUUAGGGUUUAUAAAGAGAGACCACAUGUCUUUAAGAAACUUGCCAAGACCGUGUAGGAGGAAAAACCCCAACUCACGGAUGACAACACUUGUCUCUUGGAUCCUAUCUUAUCAUUGUUUAAUUUCCUCGAGGAGCCAGAAAGGUCCCAGAAUAAAAUGACACUCAUCUCACCCCACAGCGGACUCUCACUUCCCCUUCAGAGCUGAGACCAAGUUGAAGGCUCAGGGCAGAGAUUGCCUCCUUCUGUGAGCCUGACACAAGGACCAUCCCAAGAGCCGUCCCUCACUGGCCUGCACCUCAGUCCUGGAGCCCAUUUCCUCUCCGUGAUGUCAACCGGUCCUCGUGGCACCCGGGAGGAGGAGGACAGAGGUUCUCAUCCCCACUCUCAGAGCACAGCUGGGCUUUGGCUGAGCGGUACUUACACACGGUUUCAUGACUCCAAACCCAGUGCUCUCUUUGCGCUCACUGUGUUUCCCAACCUUCUGUCAUACAAGGCCUCCCUCUGACUUUUGCCCUAUCCCCAGACCACCUGUACCACUGUUAAUGCAUUGUUCAAGGUGGGUGGCCCAUUAUUUUUUCCCUCAGUUAAAUGGCUUUGUUUAAAAAUGAAAUUUGCUAUCAUUGCCC
RNAcentral lists this long non-coding RNA (669 nucleotides) under Equus caballus (horse). RNAcentral describes it as "lncRNA (ENSECAG00000053440.1)". The record is from RNAcentral. Lineage: Eukaryota; Metazoa; Chordata; Mammalia; Perissodactyla; Equidae.